This 497-nucleotide ribosomal RNA is filed under the name uncultured bacterium. RNAcentral's name for it is "partial 16S ribosomal RNA". It matches the Rfam family "Bacterial small subunit ribosomal RNA", at positions 28 to 507 of the family's 1533-position model. The record is from RNAcentral.
GAUGAACGCUGGCGGCGUGCCUAAUACAUGCAAGUCGAGCGAACGGACGAGAAGCUUGCUUCUCUGAUGUUAGCGGCGGACGGGUGAGUAACACGUGGAUAACCUACCUAUAAGACUGGUAUAACUUCGGGAAACCGGAGCUAAUACCGGAUGAUAUUUUGAACCGCAUGGUUCAAAAGUGAAAGACGGUCUUGCUGUCACUUAUAGAUGGAUCCGCGCUGCAUUAGCUAGUUGGUAAGGUAACGGCUUACCAAGGCAACGAUGCAUAGCCGACCUGAGAGGGUGAUCGGCCACACUGGAACUGAGACACGGUCCAGACUCCUACGGGAGGCAGCAGUAGGGAAUCUUCCGCAAUGGGCGAAAGCCUGACGGAGCAACGCCGCGUGAGUGAUGAAGGUCUUCGGAUCGUAAAACUCUGUUAUUAGGGAAGAACAUAUGUGUAAGUAACUGUGCACAUCUUGACGGUACCUAAUCAGAAAGCCACGGCUAACUACGUG